Planococcus citri (citrus mealybug) is the source of this 805-nucleotide long non-coding RNA. RefSeq lists it as uncharacterized. The transcript has 3 exons. The record is from RefSeq and is a predicted model, not a curated record. NCBI's taxonomy places the organism in Eukaryota, Metazoa, Arthropoda, Insecta, Hemiptera, Pseudococcidae.
UCAUCUGGAAAUGAAAAAUGGUCAAGAAGUCAAAAUGGUGAUGUCAUGAGAAAGGCAGAGAAUCGAAAUUCUAUUAGGCACUGUUCGUCGUUUCAUCAAGUGGCAGUCACGAACUCAUUAUAGCUUUUCAUGAAGAAAGAACUCGAGCAAAAAUAUAUAAAAGUAAGUUCCUCAAAAUUUUCAGAUGUUCAACUUUGGUCAAUUUUGAAGGCAAAUUCUUACAUAACUUCUCAACAAAAUGUCAUUUCAAGACAAAUAUCCAUUUUUUAAAUAUCAGAAGUAAUUGAAGAAGACGUUAUGAGGAAUAAUAUAGAAUUUUUGGGGGACUCUUGAAAAGUAAUUUGUCUCAGUUGUAUCUUAAUUUCAAAGAUAGGUUAUUAUAUUAGAGAAUAAACCUUUUGUUUGCCUUGAAAAUUAGUGGCUAAAUUUUUUACUUGGUCGUUCAACGGUCUGGGCUUAUUUUUUUUGGGCCCCUUCCUCAUAAGUAUUUACCGUACAAAAAAAGGAUACACAACAAUACUUUUAUUGUAAACUUCGCUGCCUUCCAAAUACAAAUUCAAUUCAUGCAUGUUAAACUGGUAGGUCCAACCCAAUGCAUGACAUCUACCCAGAUGGUAUAUUUCUUCAUCACAAUUCAAAUUGUUGAUUUCACACUAGGUACAUAUUUCCAAAUCUUUGAGAAUUGUGCUAUUCUUCACAUACCACAGCGUGUUUGUAAGUUUUCUUAGAAUUUUGUUCUGGAAUCUUUCGAUGAUCAGGAUAUUGGAUUCACUAGCUGAACCCCAUAGUUUAAUACCAUACGACC